CAUUACUGAGUUCUAUAACUCCUACCCUAUGUGAAUAUACUCUAGUUGCCUCGGCAAGCCCGUACAACUUGCCGGCGGACCACUAAACUCUGAUUUGUCCACUGUAUCUCUGAAUUUAGUUAACAAAAUACGUUAAAACUUUCAACAACGGAUCUCUUGGUUCUGGCAUCGAUGAAGAACGCAGCGAAAUGCGAUAAGUAAUGUGAAUUGCAGAAUUCAGUGAAUCAUCGAAUCUUUGAACGCACAUUGCGCCCAGUAGUAUUCUACUGGGCAUGCCUAUUCGAGCGUCAUUUCAACCCUUACGCCCUGUAGCGUAGUGUUGGGAAUCUACCGACAGGUAGUUCCUGAAAUCGAUUGGCGGCGUUAGUGCAUACUCCAGGCGUAGUAAUACCAUUCUCGCUUCGGUAGUAGUGCUGACGGCUAGCCGUUAAACCCCCUAUACUUCUAGUGGUUGACCUCGGAUUAGGUAGGA
RNAcentral lists this ribosomal RNA (472 nucleotides) under fungal endophyte. RNAcentral describes it as "eukaryotic LSU rRNA". The stretch from base 137 to 290 matches the Rfam family "5.8S ribosomal RNA". Lineage: Eukaryota; Fungi. The record is from RNAcentral.